CCGUGUAGUGCCCAAGGAUACAGACGCGUGUCUCGCAUUCCUCGCUUGAGUUACGAGCUGACAGAUCUGCUCUCCCGAAGAGCCGCGGGCUAAUUAUCAGAUCGCGACAAGACGACGGGAAAGUUAUUAUUAAACUUCCAGCUGAUUUCCUUAACCCUUUAAAGUCGGGUGGUAAGUACAGAUUUCUUCUGUGAAUCAUCUUUUCUGCAAGAGAUUUUCCAGUUGGCUCAGUGCCAACAUUUUCGAAAGCGAGACAAUGAAAUUAUGGCGACCAUAAUACAAGAGGUCCUGUCGGAACUCAAAUGUCGUGUAUGCAUGGAAUAUUUUCAGCCGCCCAUAUUAAUUUGUGCUAAUGGCCACUGCUCCUGCAACAAUUGCAGAUUACAAGUGAAAAAUUGUCCGGUCUGCAGAGGUACAUUUCUGAAUGUCAGAAACACUGUUCUGGAGAAAGUGAUCACAAAAUUGAUCGGCCGAUGCAAAAACCACACUUUCGGAUGCAAUGCGACAUUCCCAAAAUAUGAUGAGACGAUUAAACAUGAAAAAGUCUGCCCACAGCAGCCUUACGAGUGCCCCAUGGAAGGAUGCACUUGGAAUCGUCCCCUUGCUACGAUGAAGAGCCAUCUGAAGGAGAAACAUGGCGCCUCCGCCGGUAAAGAAUGUGGUGGAGGCGUCAGUUCUUUGAAAAACUUUGGGGAUAAUUCUACCUGGCGUUUCGUAAAAUUAUUUAAGUCUGAAAUAUUUGUCCACGUGUCUGAAGUCAGAGGCGAUACGCUUUAUACCUGCGUGUUUCACGUUGGACACGAGAACGAAUCUGAAGAGUUUGGAUAUUUUGUGGAAAUCAGCCGAGCAGCGGGGAAGGAACAGGCAUCAGCCAAGCACACAGUUCGGAACUACGAGAAUGAUUUUGAUGAGAUUGUCAUCUCUGACAACUGCGCUAGUUUCAAUUACAAUUUUGCCAAGAAGUGUGCCUUACGUGGCAACAGACUCGAAAUGAAAGUUCAAAUCCGUUCUUUGGACACAAAGGACAGUCUCACAUCAUGAAAUACAAAAAUAUAUUCAGAGAACUUCAGCGACACAAGUUUAGUUGGCCAAACCAGAAGCUUUGUCUUAUUUAUAAAGAGUGGACCCUCCUAUGGAGUGAGUCCAUUAUCCUCGGACAAUAAAGCACGAUCCGAAAUGUUAAA
This is a non-coding RNA of Zootermopsis nevadensis, 1184 nucleotides long. The record is from RefSeq and is a predicted model, not a curated record. NCBI's taxonomy places the organism in Eukaryota, Metazoa, Arthropoda, Insecta, Blattodea, Termopsidae.